RNAcentral lists this ribosomal RNA (443 nucleotides) under uncultured Sphingomonas sp. RNAcentral describes it as "bacterial SSU rRNA". It matches the Rfam family "Bacterial small subunit ribosomal RNA", at positions 8 to 499 of the family's 1533-position model. The record is from RNAcentral. Lineage: Bacteria; Pseudomonadati; Pseudomonadota; Alphaproteobacteria; Sphingomonadales; Sphingomonadaceae.
AGAGUUUGAUCCUGGCUCAGAACGAACGCUGGCGGCAUGCCUAACACAUGCAAGUCGAACGAGACCUUCGGGUCUAGUGGCGCACGGGUGCGUAACGCGUGGGAAUCUGCCCCUUGGUUCGGAAUAACAGUUAGAAAUGACUGCUAAUACCGGAUGAUGACGUAAGUCCAAAGAUUUAUCGCCAAGGGAUGAGCCCGCGUAAGAUUAGCUUGUUGGUGAGGUAAAGGCUCACCAAGGCGACGAUCUUUAGCUGGUCUGAGAGGAUGAUCAGCCACACUGGGACUGAGACACGGCCCAGACUCCUACGGGAGGCAGCAGUGGGGAAUAUUGGACAAUGGGCGAAAGCCUGAUCCAGCAAUGCCGCGUGAGUGAUGAAGGCCUUAGGGUUGUAAAGCUCUUUUACCCGGGAUGAUAAUGACAGUACCGGAGAAUAGCCCGAUCCG